This 28-nucleotide small RNA is filed under the name Bombyx mori (domestic silkworm). RNAcentral's name for it is "ovarian small RNA-36283". The record is from RNAcentral. Lineage: Eukaryota; Metazoa; Arthropoda; Insecta; Lepidoptera; Bombycidae.
UGUUUUGCACAUCCUGACACAAGCUGUC